Non-coding RNA from Phrynosoma platyrhinos (Desert horned lizard), 72 nucleotides. NCBI's taxonomy places the organism in Eukaryota, Metazoa, Chordata, Lepidosauria, Squamata, Phrynosomatidae. The record is from the annotation of a GenBank genome assembly.
GCCAGCAUGGUGCAGUGGUCUGAAUAUUGAGCUAAAACUCUGGAGACCAGGGUUCAAAUCCCUGCUUAGCCA